CCCACCUGUUCCUAUAGCAUAGUCUUCUGCACCUUAUCAUGAACAGUUGUAAUUUGUUUUUCUAAUCUGUUACAUAAUUACAAUUUUUUCAUCUCCUCCAAGAUCAUGAAUUGAUAUCGCCUCUUUUAAUCACUAUGCUUUUUACUCUGUUGAAGUUGUUUUCACUGUGAUUGUUAUGUAUUUUAUAUUGUGGUAUUUUAUACUGUGUAUUUUAUAUUGCUGCAUUUUAUUGUAUGUGUUGGGCUUGGCCCCAUGUAAGCCGCCCCGAGUCCCCUCGGGGAGAUGGGGUGGGAUAUAAAUAAAGUUAUCAUCAUCAUCAUCAUCAUCAUCAUCAUCAUCGGUUGGACAAGGCCUCAAGGGAACUAGCCUUGGAAAUCUACUUUGGGCAAGUUGCAUUUUCUUAUGGGAAAACCUCCUCUGACUAAAUUUUGCCAAUAAAACCCUAUGGUGUGAUCUAUCAAUUGGAUUUACCUUGAAGACAUAUCUCAACAACAAACUAUCUGAAUGAAAUACUUCUCUUCGUUCUUCUUCCUCCCUAUUCAGAAAUACAAUAAAGUGAGAGUCUACAAAAAUAAGUUCACAUUAAUUUACAAGUCAAUAGUUUGAGAAAACUAUUGACUUGUAAAUUAAUGUGAAUGAAACAAAGUACCACUUAAUUUUCACUUAAUUCACUCAGAGAAUUGGGGGUGUAUUCAUUUUUAAAAAAUGCAUAAAGUUCAGUCCCUAUGCCAGAUAAUCUGGGAUAAACAGAAAACCUGGGAUCAGAUCCUGGGAUAUAGGGCCUGUGGAAGGGGCCUGAGUAGCUCAGAGAGAGAGUUUCCCCAUUUAGGCCAGCCACUGAAAAUACACCUGUAUCUGGCAGAAGCGUGCUGCAGAGAAGCAGUCACGCAAAGGAGCUGUACCCUACACAAUUUGGCAGGUUUCCAUGUUUAAUGGGCAACCCUUCCUGCUCAGAUAUGGAGCCACUCUGCACAGUUAUAGUAGUUUUGUAUCACUUGAAUGACAAUGGACCUUCACUUAGAAACCUGGGAUUUGUAGUUUGGAGAGGCAAAAUACUUGAAUUUGAGGAAAUCCCAAUUCUGUACUUUAAUAGGCACAUUCUAAAUACCUCAUAAACCCGCAGAUUCGUGUGUGUAUGUAUGUGCCUUCAAGUUCCUAUAACGUAUGACAUCCCAUGAAUUGUAUAGGGUUUUCUUAGGGAAGUAGUGUUCAGAGGUAGCUUUGCUAGUUGCUUCUUCUGAAAAAUAGCCUAUUCUGCCUGGUAUUCAUUGGUGGUCUCCAUCCAGGGCCAAUCUUGCUUAGAGGUCAGUUGAGGUCUGGUGCCUCUGUGGUAUGUAGGCGUCCAUAGGAUGGAUCCAUGGCAAUUAUGGUUGGAGCAGACUGUUGUGAUGGUGCAGGGUUGAUGAAGGGUCCAUCUACUCAAUAAUAAUAAUAAUAAUAAUAAUAAUAACAACAACAACAACAACAACAACAAUAACAGA
Molecule: long non-coding RNA, 1481 nt
Filed under: Anolis carolinensis (green anole)
Lineage: Eukaryota; Metazoa; Chordata; Lepidosauria; Squamata; Anolidae
Description: lncRNA (ENSACAG00000034990.1)
Source: RNAcentral